This 418-nucleotide ribosomal RNA is filed under the name uncultured bacterium. Its description in RNAcentral is "bacterial SSU rRNA". It matches the Rfam family "Bacterial small subunit ribosomal RNA", at positions 8 to 422 of the family's 1533-position model. The record is from RNAcentral.
AGAGUUUGAUCCUGGCUCAGAUUGAACGCUGGCGGCAUGCCUAACACAUGCAAGUCGAACGGCAGCACAGCAGAGCUUGCUCUGUGGGUGGCGAGUGGCGGACGGGUGAGUAAUGCAUCGGGACCUACCCAGACGUGGGGGAUAACCUCGGGAAACCGGGACUAAUACCGCAUACGUCCUACGGGAGAAAGCGGGGGAUCUUCGGACCUCGCGCGGUUGGACGGACCGAUGUGCGAUUAGCUAGUUGGUAGGGUAAAGGCCUACCAAGGCGACGAUCGCUAGCUGGUCUGAGAGGAUGAUCAGCCACACUGGAACUGAGACACGGUCCAGACUCCUACGGGAGGCAGCAGUGGGGAAUAUUGGACAAUGGGCGCAAGCCUGAUCCAGCAAUGCCGCGUGUGUGAAGAAGGCCUUCGGG